AUUGAACGCUGGCGGCAUGCUUUACACAUGCAAGUCGAACGGUAACAGGUCUUCGGAUGCUGACGAGUGGCGAACGGGUGAGUAAUGCAUCGGAACAUACCCAGUUGUGGGGGACAACUACGCGAAAGCGUAGCUAAUACCGCAUAAUAUCUAUGGAUGAAAGCAGGGGAUCGCAAGACCUUGCGCAAUUGGAAUGGCCGAUGUUAGAUUAGGUAGUUGGUGUGGUAAAGGCGCACCAAGCCUGCGAUCUAUAGCUGGUCUGAGAGGACGACCAGCCACACUGGAACUGAGACACGGUCCAGACUCCUACGGGAGGCAGCAGUGGGGAAUUUUGGACAAUGGGCGCAAGCCUGAUCCAGCAAUGCCGCGUGCAGGAUGAAGGCCUUAGGGUUGUAAACUGCUUUUGUACAGAACGAAAAAUUCUGGGUUAAUACCCUGGGACCAUGACGGUACUGUAAGAAUAAGCACCGGCUAACUACGUGCCAGCCGCCGCUGUAAAAC
RNAcentral lists this ribosomal RNA (501 nucleotides) under uncultured bacterium. RNAcentral's name for it is "bacterial SSU rRNA". It matches the Rfam family "Bacterial small subunit ribosomal RNA", at positions 30 to 526 of the family's 1533-position model. The record is from RNAcentral.